CGGCGAGUGUAAGCUAAAUGUAUAAUAAUUAUUAUCGGGCGGCGGCGGUGGCGGCAGAAUUGGCAACCAGAAAUAAAGAGAAAGAAAAGAUUGGAUAGGCCUAAGUCGGAGAAACUUGGUUGUAAAACGAAACAUUUUUAAUGGCAUACAUUUGGUGGCUGGCUAUGGCUAGAAAUGGUAUUAUGCAACGCACACAUCAGAUACUGGCAGAUACAGAUGCGGACUACGGACUACGGACUGCAGACAUCACAUCAAAUUGUAUCUGGCAUAGAGCAGCGAAUUUUCAUUUUGAUCAUUCGCAUUCGUUUGUUGUUUUGGGUGUAAAACACGAAACGAGAAAUAAAUCAAAUCAAGUGUAGCGACCGCAUCCAUUUAUAUACAACCAAACAGAUACAUCCAGAGAUCAUUCUCAUUCCGAAUACACGCGCUGCUGAUUCUUGAGGAUAUUCGAUUUGUAUCUGUGAGUCUGUAGCGUGUAGCUGUGCGUUUCAACAGCUGUCCGUCCCGUCAGUCCGUCGAGAACCGGGCCAAGGUUAGAAAACACGUCAAUAAAGCGCGUUAGCCGACAGCAACAAAUCUACUAGUGAAUGGCUCUCGAUGUGGUCUGUGUGUCUAUUUUUAUUUGGGAAAACUCACGCAGCUUUUCCCAACUCCCCGAGCGAUCAGGACUCGUCAUCGAUCCGCGGCUCACGAUCGUCAUGUCAACGGAUCGAUCGGCGAUUGUUACGAUUAUUAUGCACUCAACACUGACUAUGGCUCAAUUUGAGAGAAGUCUUGACAGAAUAAUUUCUUAAUUUAUGCGGCGCCAGCUUGCGUCCCCUUCUCCCCCUAUAUAAAUCGAAAUAUAUCAAUUGCUAAUUGGCAGAAAUGUAUGUAUAUAAAUCAAUUCUUAAUUUGAGCACAUCAUUGAAAGAAGCUGAUUAAUGAAGAAACAUAGAUUGGCACUCAGGGGGCGCGAAAACCAGAUUUGAUAGCUGUGAGUCUAAUAUAAAUGGAUAAAUUAAGCAAAACUGAUAAGAGUAUUUAUCGCAAAAGAACCCCAACGACCCUCAAAACUUUAAAAUUUAUCAAAUUUGUUUAUUCUACUUUGGGUAAGGUCGUUCCAUUUGUCUCAUUUUUAUAGUUUCGCUUCAAAGUUACAAAAUGAUUCAUUUGAUAAUAAUUUCAGCAAAUGAAAUAAAAUACACAUAUUUUGUUAAAGCCCACGUAUUUCCAAAAAUUUCUAUUUAUACAUUUUAUAACUAAUUCAUGUGAAAUAUGUGUGUGGACCAUGAAAUACGCUUUUAUAAAAGAUACACAUUUCGAAAAACAUCACGUUAUCCUUGAACUGUAUUUAAAUGUAAAUAUCUGAAUCUGAACGCUUGUAAACACCCGUAAUUUAUUGCCAUUUCUUUGAUAAUUUCCCACUUGUCCCCCAGCGAGUUUGAACGUCAAUGCACGCUGCCAGCUUGUAGGCCAAAAGCAAAAUCAAAGUCAGCCAACGGCAUGGAUACACGGUCACUUGCAACCGCCGCCUCCAUCCUCCAAUUUCUAUCUUCCUCUCCAUCAGUCAACAUCAUUCAUAUAAAGUCCAAGGUAGCGGCGCAACACAGUGGAACCAAGAGACUCCUGUUUUCCAUUUAAUUUAGUCAAAUCGGAGCAUUAGGUUCAUUGUUUCUCAUUUAAUUUUAUAAAAUCAAUUGGUAGACAAAAAACUUUUAAAAAUAAAUACUAAAUCUAAAUUCUUUCGCCAACAUUUUUGAUGUUUAAAGAAGUCUAUAUUUUUUUUUAUCAAAGCUAUGGUUCUUUUAAGUUGCUUUCAAAUUUUUGCGUUUAUAAAUUUGAGCAACAAGUAAGUUUUUAUUCAAAGAAAACCUAAAUUUGCUCGAAAUACGUGCCACUUAAUUCCUAUAAGUGUUUCUAGUGAUUGUUAUACUAUGAUCAUUUCUGAAUUCCUAAGAAUUCUCCUUUCUUUUUAUAAAUUAUAUGUGGUAACCAUUAAAAAUUGGUUUAGUACCACUGUGGCCUAUCCCGUCUGCAGAAAUCGUGUCGCAUGCCAUUGAAAAUGUGUUGCAGGUGUGGUGCUCUCGUUGUCAAUGCUUAUGAAUGGAAGGCCCAAACAUUGAAAUUAUAUGAAUGCGAAAAUGGAGCGGCAGGGAAAAACUACAAAGAAAGUGCGGAAUGGGCUUUUGCAACCAUUAGAGGACUUCAAAAACGACAGCAGCAAGUGAAGCAAAUAGCCGCAGGUUGCGACCGCAGUUGCACCGCACACAAUGUGGCAGUUGCUGUUGCUGUUGCUGUAAUUACAGUGCACUCCCAGACAGUGAGCCCUCCCCGCGCUGCCCGCACUGAGCAAAUUAGCAUCUGGUUAACAAGUGCGCCGCGGUUAAACGGUGAAAAUCUUCGACUCUUUGCUGGCGCAGCAUAAUUAGAAUCAAUUAUAUUGAAUUGGAGCAGACAGUGAGUGCAAGAUGGGAGUGGACUGACAGCCGACUUUGUAAUUGAUGAGAGAAGCCGUUGAAUUGAUUUUCACAUUUAAGUAAGAAUUUUGGAGAUAAUCCCAGGAAAAGUCAUUUCUUUAUGUUCACUUUUCGAUUUUUUUAAAUUAAAAUCUCUAAAGAUUUUUUUAAAUUGUUAAAGUUAGUUCCAAGUUUCAAAUUUUCACAAGCUUUAGACUUGACAUAAAAACUUCUUGUUUCUUAUUUCUUAAGCAACAUUAAAAACCAAAUAGACAAGUUUUUGAUAAUAAGGAAACAAAAUUUAAACAUUUAUAACAUUUUUUUGCUAGCAACUCAUUAAAUUUUUUUUGUUCGACACAGUACAAUAACAAGUCAAACAAAUGAGAGGAAAACUGAAAAUGAUUUUGCGAAAAAUCUUUGGGCUUUCAAUAUGUAAACUCGCUUUCAUGUGUAUGGGUAUUGUAUGUUUUUCUUGGUUGUUAAAAAUAGAAAAUUUUGUAUUUUUCUUAUUUAAUGCUUUUGGCCGUUGCCCGUUUGCCUUUCGCUGGUUUUUGCUGUUGCUGUUCUGGCCAUUCGACUUGUAAAUCGUCGGCUUGCAUUAGCCAUGUAUUUGUUGUAUUUGUUAAUAUUCGAAAUUCGUAUUGUUGUUGCGGCGGCGGUGUUGAAACCGCAGAAGAGCACGAAAUACGCAACAAAAACAAUGGUCGAGCGUCUAGAGAUCGGCGCUGCACAGUGGGCCUAAGACGAGGCCUACACUUUGACCUUGAUAGGAUCAGAAAGGUCCUUUGAAUAUUGUAAAAGAUUAAACAAAUUUUACUAAACGUUACGAACCAUUUUUAAAAUAUUUUUAUCUAGAAUACUGUUAAAUAUUUAUAAACUGACACAUUACUCUAUUUA
This is a long non-coding RNA of Drosophila elegans, 3335 nucleotides long. RefSeq lists it as uncharacterized. Lineage: Eukaryota; Metazoa; Arthropoda; Insecta; Diptera; Drosophilidae. The transcript is spliced from 3 exons. The record is from RefSeq and is a predicted model, not a curated record.